GAUGCGUCCAUGAAGUCACCAGCCCCAAGCCCCUCGUGGUGGGUGGUGAUGGAACCGUCAAAGCAGU
This is a non-coding RNA of Bos taurus (domestic cattle), 67 nucleotides long. NCBI's taxonomy places the organism in Eukaryota, Metazoa, Chordata, Mammalia, Artiodactyla, Bovidae. The record is from Rfam.